Molecule: ribosomal RNA, 465 nt
Filed under: uncultured bacterium
Lineage: Bacteria
Description: partial 16S ribosomal RNA
Rfam family: Bacterial small subunit ribosomal RNA
Source: RNAcentral
GACGAACGCUGGCGGCGUGCUUAACACAUGCAAGUCGUACGGUAAGGCCCUUUCGGGGGUACACGAGUGGCGAACGGGUGAGUAACACGUGAGUAACCUGCCCACAACUUUGGGAUAACGCUAGGAAACUGGUGCUAAUACUGGAUAUGUGCUCCUGCUGCAUGGUGGGGGUUGGAAAGCUCCGGCGGUUGUGGAUGGACUCGCGGCCUAUCAGCUUGUUGGUGGGGUAGUGGCCUACCAAGGCGGCGACGGGUAGCCGGCCUGAGAGGGUGAUCGGCCACAUUGGGACUGAGAUACGGCCCAGACUCCUACGGGAGGCAGCAGUGGGGAAUAUUGCACAAUGGGCGCAAGCCUGAUGCAGCAACGCCGCGUGCGGGAUGACGGCCUUCGGGUUGUAAACCGCUUUCAGCAGGGACGAAGCUUUUUGUGACGGUACCUGCAGAAGAAGCACCGGCUAACUACGUG